Molecule: ribosomal RNA, 199 nt
Filed under: Escherichia coli
Lineage: Bacteria; Pseudomonadati; Pseudomonadota; Gammaproteobacteria; Enterobacterales; Enterobacteriaceae
Also listed under: 7 other names
Description: partial 16S ribosomal RNA
Rfam family: Bacterial small subunit ribosomal RNA
Source: RNAcentral
CUAGUAAUCGUGGAUCAGAAUGCCACGGUGAAUACGUUCCCGGGCCUUGUACACACCGCCCGUCACACCAUGGGAGUGGGUUGCAAAAGAAGUAGGUAGCUUAACCUUCGGGAGGGCGCUUACCACUUUGUGAUUCAUGACUGGGGUGAAGUCGUAACAAGGUAACCGUAGGGGAACCUGCGGUUGGAUCACCUCCUUA